RNAcentral lists this ribosomal RNA (586 nucleotides) under uncultured bacterium. Its description in RNAcentral is "partial 16S ribosomal RNA". It matches the Rfam family "Bacterial small subunit ribosomal RNA", at positions 355 to 1375 of the family's 1533-position model. The record is from RNAcentral.
UGGGGAAUUUUGGACAAUGGGCGAAAGCCUGAUCCAGCAAUGCCGCGUGUGUGAAGAAGGCCUUCGGGUUGUAAAGCACUUUUGUCCGGAAAGAAAUCCUUGGCUCUAAUACAGUCGGGGGAUGACGGUACCGGAAGAAUAAGCACCGGCUAACUACGUGCCAGCAGCCGCGGUAAUACGUAGGGUGCAAGCGUUAAUCGGAAUUACUGGGCGUAAAGCGUGCGCAGGCGGUUUGCUAAGACCGAUGUGAAAUCCCCGGGCUCAACCUGGGAACUGCAUUGGUGACUGGCAGGCUAGAGUAUGGCAGAGGGGGGUAGAAUUCCACGUGUAGCAGUGAAAUGCGUAGAGAUGUGGAGGAAUACCGAUGGCGAAGGCAGCCCCCUGGGCCAAUACUGACGCUCAUGCACGAAAGCGUGGGGAGCAAACAGGAUUAGAUACCCUGGUAGUCCACGCCCUAAAACGAUGUCAACUAGUUGUUGGGGGAUUCAUUUCCUAGUAACGUAGCUAACGCGUGAAGUUGACCGCCUGGGGAGUACGGUCGCAAGAUUAAAACUCAAAUGAAUUGACGGGGUCAUAGCUGUUUCCU